AUUGAACGCUGGCGGCAGGCCUAACACAUGCAAGUCGAGCGGAAACGACAGUAUUGAAGCUUCGGUGGAUUUACUGGGCGUCGAGCGGCGGACGGGUGAGUAAUGCUUAGGAAUUUGCCCAGUCGAGGGGGAUAACCAUUGGAAACGAUGGCUAAUACCGCAUACGCCCUACGGGGGAAAGAGGGGGAUGCUUCGGCACCUUUCGCGAUUGGAUAAGCCUAAGUGAGAUUAGCUAGUUGGUGAGGUAAAGGCUCACCAAGGCGACGAUCUCUAGCUGGUUUGAGAGGAUGAUCAGCCACACUGGAACUGAGACACGGGUCCAGACUCCUACGGGAGGCAGCAGUGGGGAAUAUUGCACAAUGGGCGCAAGCCUGAUGCAGCCAUGCCGCGUGUAUGAAGAAGGCCUUCGGGUUGUAAAGUACUUUCAGCGAGGAGGAAGGUUAGUAGUUAAUACCUGCUAGCUGUGACGUUACUCGCAGAAGAAGCACC
This 489-nucleotide ribosomal RNA is filed under the name uncultured bacterium. RNAcentral describes it as "bacterial SSU rRNA". It matches the Rfam family "Bacterial small subunit ribosomal RNA", at positions 30 to 494 of the family's 1533-position model. The record is from RNAcentral.